RNAcentral lists this long non-coding RNA (1793 nucleotides) under Homo sapiens (human). RNAcentral's name for it is "ITPR1 divergent transcript". Lineage: Eukaryota; Metazoa; Chordata; Mammalia; Primates; Hominidae. The record is from RNAcentral.
AGACGCGUGCGGGGACAGGGGAGGGGCGUCCUGCGAGGCUUUCAGGCUGCUGAGCCUGUUCCUUGGCUGGGGUCGGUAGGGCUUGGAGCCAGCCGUUCAAAGUCACCCCUGGGAAGCGCCCGCAACCCUUGGGGACGCCUCUCCUCCGGCUGCCCCCCUUCCCUGGAAUCCAGGUGUCACUGGGGCCGGGGAGGGGCUAGGAGCUCGGAUUUCUGCUUUGGGAAGUUUUUACAAGCCCACCCUCCCCCUGCCUUGGUUCCCCGAGCCAAGAAUUUCAGAAAUCCGGGGCACAAAAACGCCAGUGUUUGCGGUCAAGGAUUAAAGGCGCGAGGUGUCUUUAUUUAAUCUGCUCCGCCCUGCUCGGGUUUGCACGAGAAACCAAGCCUGGGAGCGACGGUCCACGCAAGCGGAGACACAGGCAAGUCGCGUGAGAGCACUUUUCUGAGCCCGAGUUGCUUGUCUUUUAUCGCCCGUGAGGAGGUAAAGAAAGGCAGACCUCUCCGGUGCACAAAUAAAGGAGCCGUGUUGUGACUUGCCGGCUCUGAGAUUGGGAGGCAGAAAAUAAAUACAAACCGCGACCUCAGUCCUGACCGUACCUCUAGCAGCCCCUCUGCUCCUGGGAGCUGUAAAUGCUUAAGUAAAUAAACCGCAAACCAGAAAAAUAAGGGCUUAGGAAAGAGCCGCUCACACAGAGAUGCGCAUCCAGGCGGGGCGCUCUCCAAGAGCUCCGAAUGGGGCAAGCAUUAUCCCCUGGUCACUGGACGCUGGGGUCUAGUGCCUAAUACGUUAAGCUGCUUCUCCCCAUCAUCAAGAAACUGCCGCAUCUGCCAUAUAAAGGAGAUGUUUCUCAUUCGCCCCCACUCAUCUCUUCCCCCAUGAAAACCUCUUCCAUUUUCAAAGGAUCUUCGGCUCUACUUUUCAAGCAAAUUCAACAAAUCAGUGUAUGCCUGUGUAACUGGUAAAUAGUGAAGGGUAAUUAUUUCAUGUGCUUCUAACUCAGAAACAAUGGAAUAUUAACAGCGGUUUUCUGAAGAUCCAGUUGGACAAUUUUCAUUUUCAUCAUAUAAUGGACAUUUAUCUCCUACCUGCAUUAUCCACUGUCUUCCCUCGGAGACCACAAAUUUCACUGAAGGCAGCAUCUAUGUCUUAUUCAUGCUUGUGCUCUCUACCUCCCCUGACCCAGAAGGACUUAUUCUUCUUUCUGCACAUUUUAGUAGAUGUGUUAAAAAAAAAAAAAAAAAGUUUGUUAAGAAGAUGUUUUAAUGGAAGGUGUGUCAGGCAUAUGGCAGGAUACAUGACCAUAUUUUUGGAGCAUGCAACACCUCGUAGCCCAUCUCUAUCAUAGCCUAUUUUCUCCGCCUGUAUGUAUGGAUAAUCCUAUUCAACAUUUUUAAGGUCUAGAAGCUGCUAGGUCACUAGAAAGUAAUUUUGCUAUGAUGUGAAGAGGUUCUCUAUGAUGAUGUAUGACUGAUAAAUUAUGAUGAUUAAUGUCAGAAUAUAAGGGUCACUGCCUAACUCAUUCUCUGUUAUCAGUAGAGGGAAAGGAGCUGCUUUCUCUUCACUAUUUUUUUCUAGAAGAAUUUUCUAUCCCUGUGUUUUCCAGUAUAGUGACUACUAGCCAUUUAGGCACGUAAGAUGUGGCUAGUUCUGAGAUGUGAAAUAGAUGUUAACACAUUGAAUUUCAAAGACUUAGUACAAAAAAAAGCAAAAUAUCUUAAUUUGUAUAGUGAUUACAUGUUGAAGUGGUAAUAUUUUGGAUAUUUGUGUUAAAUAAAAUAGAUUAUUAGAAUUUA